RNAcentral lists this ribosomal RNA (1341 nucleotides) under uncultured bacterium. Its description in RNAcentral is "16S ribosomal RNA". It matches the Rfam family "Bacterial small subunit ribosomal RNA", at positions 28 to 1381 of the family's 1533-position model. The record is from RNAcentral.
GACGAACGCUGGCGGCGUGCUUAACACAUGCAAGUCGAACGGUAAGGCUCCAGCUUGCUGGGGUACACGAGUGGCGAACGGGUGAGUAACACGUGGGUGACCUGCCCUGCACUUCGGGAUAAGCCUGGGAAACUGAGUCUAAUACCGGAUAGGACCGCACCGUGAGGGUGUGGUGGAAAGUUUUUUCGGUGUGGGAUGGGCCCGCGGCCUAUCAGCUUGUUGGUGGGGUAAUGGCCUACCAAGGCGGCGACGGGUAGCCGGCCUGAGAGGGUGGACGGCCACAUUGGGACUGAGACACGGCCCAGACUCCUACGGGAGGCAGCAGUGGGGAAUAUUGCACAAUGGGCGGAAGCCUGAUGCAGCGACGCCGCGUGGGGGAUGACGGCCUUCGGGUUGUAAACUCCUUUCACCAUCGACGAAGGGUUUCUGACGGUAGAUGGAGAAGAAGCACCGGCUAACUACGUGCCAGCAGCCGCGGUAAUACGUAGGGUGCGAGCGUUGUCCGGAAUUACUGGGCGUAAAGAGCUCGUAGGUGGUUUGUCGCGUCGUCUGUGAAAUUCCGGGGCUUAACUCCGGGCGUGCAGGCGAUACGGGCAUAACUUGAGUACUGUAGGGGAGACUGGAAUUCCUGGUGUAGCGGUGAAAUGCGCAGAUAUCAGGAGGAACACCGGUGGCGAAGGCGGGUCUCUGGGCAGUAACUGACGCUGAGGAGCGAAAGCAUGGGGAGCGAACAGGAUUAGAUACCCUGGUAGUCCAUGCCGUAAACGGUGGGCGCUAGGUGUGGGUUUCCUUCCACGGGAUCCGUGCCGUAGCUAACGCAUUAAGCGCCCCGCCUGGGGAGUACGGCCGCAAGGCUAAAACUCAAAGGAAUUGACGGGGGCCCGCACAAGCGGCGGAGCAUGUGGAUUAAUUCGAUGCAACGCGAAGAACCUUACCUGGGCUUGACAUAUACAGGAUCGCGCCAGAGAUGGUGUUUCCCUUGUGGCUUGUAUACAGGUGGUGCAUGGUUGUCGUCAGCUCGUGUCGUGAGAUGUUGGGUUAAGUCCCGCAACGAGCGCAACCCUUGUCUUAUGUUGCCAGCACGUUGUGGUGGGGACUCGUAAGAAACUGCCGGGGUUAACUCGGAGGAAGGUGGGGAUGACGUCAAAUCAUCAUGCCCCUUAUGUCCAGGGCUUCACACAUGCUACAAUGGUCGGUACAGUGGGUUGCCAGUCCGUGAGGGCGAGCUAAUCCCGCAAAGCCGGUCUCAGUUCGGAUCGGGGUCUGCAACUCGACCCCGUGAAGUCGGAGUCGCUAGUAAUCGCAGAUCAGCAACGCUGCGGUGAAUACGUUCCCGGGCCU